This 71-nucleotide transfer RNA is filed under the name Alkaliphilus oremlandii OhILAs. It matches the Rfam family "tRNA". Rfam says of the family: Transfer RNA (tRNA) molecules are approximately 80 nucleotides in length. Their secondary structure includes four short double-helical elements and three loops (D, anti-codon, and T loops). The record is from Rfam by way of RNAcentral. RNAcentral also lists the same sequence under 1 other name. Lineage: Bacteria; Bacillati; Bacillota; Clostridia; Peptostreptococcales; Natronincolaceae.
GGCGGCAUAGCCAAGUGGUAAGGCAGAGGUCUGCAAAACCUUUAUCCCCAGUUCAAAUCUGGGUGUCGCCU